This 820-nucleotide long non-coding RNA is filed under the name Homo sapiens (human). Its description in RNAcentral is "HSALNT0018308". Lineage: Eukaryota; Metazoa; Chordata; Mammalia; Primates; Hominidae. The record is from RNAcentral.
UAAAUCCUCCGCGGGUCUCCCCGCCCUUCCUGCUGGGAUGGGAGGAGACCUUAGCGGACGGUGCUCUGCCUGUGCGGCCAGAUGAAAGGGGGACUGGGAAAAUGAAGCCAGCUCUUGCCUCUGGGCGAGGAGGUGUUGGGAGGGGAGUAGGAGGUCGGAAGGAGAGAGGCCGACCCAGUUAGCUCUGUUCACACCGUCCCUCUCUAGGAGCGGAGCCUACACCUGACUUGUUUGGAAUGUGAGCUUUUGCAGGGGACAGAGGCCCUGAGCACAAAGAAAGGAUUCAUAUGGGAGCGAAUAGAACAAGUAAAGACGGUCAGCUGUGGUCACAGUGGAGGAACUGAAGAGUUUAGACUUCACCAGCUCUUAGAGCCCUGUUUUCUUUGAAGUGGUUACAACCGAGUACUUUGGUGUGGCCUAAAGAGUUUGAAGGUAUACAGUUAAAGGACCUGGAAAUAAGAUUGGGCUGGCCAUUGGGGCCUUGCUUUUCUCAUCUGUGAGAUGAUAGUUGUGAAAAUGAGAUUAGACUGUAUGAAAUAUUCUUCGUAAGCCAUAGGAUAUGUUAUACAAAUGCUUUAGUUAUUGAAACAUCUAUAAAUUGGUAUACAAGUCAUGAUUACUGUAGUUGCAAUACGGAGUUGGUGGGGUGCUUCAGAUUUGCAAGCUGUAGGAGGUGGGAACAGGACUGAAGGGCUAUGUGCUGAUGAAUCUCCUUCAGCAUUGCUGUGGAAUGGAUAUGCUUCCCCAAAAUUCAUAUGUGUUGAAGCUCUAACCCCUAAUGUGACUAUAUCUGGAAAUAGGGUCUUUAGGAGCUCGCUCU